RNAcentral lists this long non-coding RNA (229 nucleotides) under Lathyrus oleraceus (garden pea). RNAcentral describes it as "Pisum sativum (pea) long non-coding RNA (PSAT_LNC025392)". The record is from RNAcentral. Lineage: Eukaryota; Viridiplantae; Streptophyta; Magnoliopsida; Fabales; Fabaceae.
UCAUUGAUUCAUCAAGUUCACAUCUAGGGUUUGAGACCCUCAUGAACAAAGAGCACAACCAAGAGUUAAUUCAAGAAUGGUUAUGAACAUCAUAUAUGAGUCCCAGUGUUCUCUACAUUUUAUAUUGAUCAAGUUUUCUUCAAGAGAUUGAGGGUGAUUUGCCUUGGAAACCCUAGUUUGACUGGGUAUCUUGAGUAACUUCUCUAACAAGCUAUCUCACCAAUUGAUC